UGACGUCAAGUACAUCAUGGCCCCUUACGGCCUGGGCUACACACGUGCUACAAUGGUCGGUACAAAGGGUUGCCAAGCCGCGAGGUGGAGCUAAUCCCAAUAAAACCGAUCGUAGUCCGGAUCGCAGUCUGCAACUCGACUGCGUGAAGUCGGAAUCGCUAGUAAUCGUGAAUCAGAAUGUCACGGUGAAUACGUUCCCGGGCCUU
This 206-nucleotide ribosomal RNA is filed under the name uncultured Pseudomonas sp. RNAcentral describes it as "partial 16S ribosomal RNA". It matches the Rfam family "Bacterial small subunit ribosomal RNA", at positions 1180 to 1382 of the family's 1533-position model. Lineage: Bacteria; Pseudomonadati; Pseudomonadota; Gammaproteobacteria; Pseudomonadales; Pseudomonadaceae. The record is from RNAcentral.